Molecule: microRNA precursor, 71 nt
Filed under: Solanum lycopersicum (tomato)
Lineage: Eukaryota; Viridiplantae; Streptophyta; Magnoliopsida; Solanales; Solanaceae
Description: MIR8024 microRNA precursor family
Rfam family: MIR8024 microRNA precursor family
Source: Rfam by way of RNAcentral
UUGAAGAAUUUGAAGACUUCAACUUGUAGACUCUUCAACCUGCAAAUUUGAAGAAUUUGAAGACUUCAACU